This is a long non-coding RNA of Scophthalmus maximus (turbot), 1643 nucleotides long. RefSeq lists it as uncharacterized. The record is from RefSeq and is a predicted model, not a curated record. NCBI's taxonomy places the organism in Eukaryota, Metazoa, Chordata, Actinopteri, Pleuronectiformes, Scophthalmidae. The transcript is spliced from 3 exons.
GAUUUACUGACUGCUGCGGGUCGAGGAAGAAAUGCAGCUGGGGAAGAAGACAAGAAAAGGAGGGUGUGGCAUGAUAAAGCUGUUGGCUGAUAGGGAUCUGAAACCGGGAAUCAUGCAGCCCCCUGGCACAUACACAAAGUGCUGUGUUCUCAUUUUAUCUGAUGCUGCUCAGCCCCAACUUCCUACCGACUUCACUCCUCUGUCCUCUCAUGGCACGUGUCCAUAAACAUCAGGUGCUCUGCAGGUUCAAGACAUGAACUGAAGUCCUGACAUCUUCCUGAAUUUGUCCGGAGGGGCUUUAUGUGAGAACCCAAAUGGCCAUAAAAUGUUGCUCAGGACAUCUCCCACCUUUCCUGCCAGAAUUCUGUAGAAUGUACAUGUGUGAAUACAGAAGGAAAAUCUCCAGAAAAUUCACAGUGAGCAUGUGGGUGUGCUGAUGACUGUGAAAAAAAAAUGCUUUCUGCAGCGAAAUUUUCAUCAUGUCCUGCCUCCUGCUUGCUCUACCAAGAUGCCACAGUACAUGCGAGUUCAAGUCUGAAAACAUCUCAAGUCUUUUGAACUACUGCAGAUAUGAGAAGAUGCUUGACUUUACCAUACUUCAUAUCUGAAAGCGUUGUCUGUCCUCAUCAUGUGACUGCGUUACACGUUGAGACAUAGCAGUGCUCAGUGCAUGGCGUUAAGAUAGAAUCAAGCCUGUUUAGACAUGCAGAUGUAAAUGGCCCCCUACUUGUGCAUGUGCCUUGGGGCAAAAAAAGAUCUUGACAAUGCCUCACUGUUUGAUGUUCUUUUUGUCUCCCUCAUUGUUGUUAUCUUCAAAUGUCAUUUUGAUCGCAUCCUGCAGGAUCAACCUUUGUAUCUGCCCUUUAACUGUGUCUUGUGAUCAUUGCCCUAUUCACUCCAAUUGCUAUUUUCAGCCUAGAUACAGUAUGUAACAGGGGUAGUAUAUGCUGAGGUUUUACUUUAACGUAGUCAGCUGCUGUGUCCUGCAUGCUUUUCUUCAAGCCCAAAUUUUCUUCAAGCUAAAAUCCACAAGAGUUUUCUUAAAAAAUGUAUUUUGUAGAGAAGAUUAUCGUUAGAAGAUUUGAGUGUAGAUGGUAAGACUGAAAAUAUUUUCUGCGAUUGAGCUUUUUUGUCCCGUCUCUAUAAGUUGGUUAGUCUAGAUGUUGAAUCCAGAGUCAUCACACAUGAUCAUUUGACAUCCACUUAUAUCAAGUACAGUAUAUCAAAUAGAUGCUGUAGCUGUUUAAGCGAAAUAACAACAGGUGAAAACAACACAAGUAGUGUGAAUGCUUUUGCAUUAUUGCUGUAGUUUUAAUUUCCUCCCACCAACAUCUGGAAAGUAAUGGCUUUCACGUUUAACGUUUCUACACUCACAAGGUUGCACUCAAAUCCAUCACAAUCAGAGUAUGUCAGAUGUUUGAAAUGCUUUGUUUCCCUCAAUCAAUGUAUGAAAACUAUUACUAUAAUGUAAUAACUGGAAUCUAAUAAAUCUAAGAAAUGUAAUCUGAAAAGACGUUUAUGAAUUUAAAUAAACCCGACUUAAUUAAUCAUGAAUUAAUUUACUUUCGCUCUGACCCCAACAUGGCGGCACGUUUCUCUUUUGUUGCCAUCAGCAUGACAAAGGUAGAGAUGAGAGUGUUUCU